Molecule: small nucleolar RNA, 136 nt
Organism: Camarhynchus parvulus
Lineage: Eukaryota; Metazoa; Chordata; Aves; Passeriformes; Thraupidae
Source: Ensembl
GCAUCUGAAACUCCCCCACUCCCUGAGGUGCACUGCUGGGCUGGGGACAUGUGAUGAUGCCAUAGCAAGGCAGAGGAAAUCCAGACAAGCUCCCUUUCACCACAGUGGGACUCGUCUCUACGCCUUUGCAACAUUU